AUGUGGCUUGAGGGACAUGGAAACUUGCUCUGUUCCUUGUGGAAUUCACCAAACAUACGUGGACUUCACUGCAAACACCAGAUUGUUCAGGAGACAAAUUGCUGCUUUUGUGGAGUACAUUUUCCAGCAGACAUCCUAUUUAGCUUCUCAAGCUCUUGGUCCCGUCUGAAGACAGUCAUUCAUCAGACAAGCCUGCCUCACGGGCUGUCAGCAUGCUGAAGGAAAGCCUUGAAAAGAGAGCACUGUGGAAACAAAUCAAGUUCUGGCCCCACCUGAGCAGCCAGUGUUAAAUACACCUCAGAUCAGAGGUGCUGGACCAUCCCAUGGAGAAAUUUUCCCCACUGUGGUUAUCCCAGCACCCAGCCAAUGCCAUACUCAGCCCGUACAAUGGAUCACAACGUGCUCAAAGGGCAGAAGCAUGUUACAGAUGACAGGAUGCUAAAUAUGAAAUUUGUUUUUUGUUUUUUUGCUUGUUCUCAACCACAAGCUGCUUGCCUUUUUUUUUAGGUGUUUACCAUAGUCUGCAUAUGCUAUGAGAAGAUUUAUAUCUCAAAUCUGCAAACAGCCAUUUUUGAGGAAGUAAACAAACAACAAGCAUCUGACUGGAAGAGAACUUGUUUUUCUUCAUUUCUGAAAAGCCACUGAAGGGUUAUGGACAUCACUAUUUGAGUAACAGAUAAUAAACACAGUGAAAACACAGUGAAAAAUAAUUCAAACUAAAAUAAAAAAUGCAUACAACAUCUCGUUGGAAAUGUUCAAAAAAAAUGGGCUUGCAAAACCAUAAAUAAAGUAAAACCAUGGGUUGAAAUAGUGAUUGCAGCCUUGUCAAUGGAAUUUCUUUGUGGUAACUAAGAACAAGCACAGCCCUUCCUGUUACCUUCACCUGGAGAGCAAGUGCAGAGAGAGUGCUGCGUGCUGGAGGCAAGGCAGUGAGCACUGAUGGGCGCUAGACAGGCAGCCAUGCACCCUGCAGGAUGAAACCCCACCACUGGCAUUUACUGCUCUGUCUCUGACAGUCUGGUAUUGCCUCUGAGCAUCUCCUGGGCCAGGGCAGAAGCAAAAUACCUAGGGAGAAAGGGAACUGAAGUGGCUCAUGCACACACAUAGCAGAGCCAGUCCCCAGUGCCCAAGCUGACACCUUCUCUUCAUUUGCACCCACACGCUGUGUAGUGCUGUUGGAAGGCUAAGAGAGAAAAAACGCAGAUGAUGGGUAACACGACAUAGAAGGGAAGAUAACACUGCCUGUGGGG
Molecule: long non-coding RNA, 1250 nt
Filed under: Cairina moschata (Muscovy duck)
Lineage: Eukaryota; Metazoa; Chordata; Aves; Anseriformes; Anatidae
Description: domestica (muscovy Duck (domestic type)) lncRNA (ENSCMMG00000014726.1)
Source: RNAcentral